GACGAACGCUGGCGGCGUGCUUAACACAUGCAAGUCGAACGGAAAGGCCCUGCUUGCAGGGUACUCGAGUGGCGAACGGGUGAGUAACACGUGGGUGAUCUGCCCUGCACUUCGGGAUAAGCCUGGGAAACUGGGUCUAAUACCGGAUAGGAGCCAUUUUUAGUGUGAUGGUUGGAAAGUUUUUUCGGUGUAGGAUGAGCUCGCGGCCUAUCAGCUUGUUGGUGGGGUAAUGGCCUACCAAGGCGGCGACGGGUAGCCGGCCUGAGAGGGUGGACGGCCACAUUGGGACUGAGAUACGGCCCAGACUCCUAACGGGGGCAGGAGGGGGGAAUAUUGCACAAAGGGCGCAAGCCUGAUGCAGCGACGCCGCGGGGGGGAUGACGGCCUUCGGGUUGGAAACUCCCUUCGCUAGGGACGAAGCUUUUUGUGACGGUACCUAGAUAAGAAGCACCGGCUAACUACGUG
This 465-nucleotide ribosomal RNA is filed under the name uncultured bacterium. RNAcentral describes it as "partial 16S ribosomal RNA". It matches the Rfam family "Bacterial small subunit ribosomal RNA", at positions 28 to 507 of the family's 1533-position model. The record is from RNAcentral.